CCCCCCCCCCCCCCCCCCCGCCGCGACUCGUAGAUGGGGAACCCACAUAUUCGGUAAACCGCAUUCUGGACUCGAGACGGAGGGGACGCGGAUUUCAGUACUUGGUGGACUGGGAAGGUUACGGUCCGGAGGAGAGAAGUUGGGUACCUGCUAGAGACAUCCUGGAUCACUCCCUUAUUGAUGAUUACAAUCGACAGAUCGUUGUGGUUGUUCCUUGGUGUGUUUCCUGUGCUCGUGCCUCGUCUGUUCUGUUCCUCGUUUGGAUUUCGUCAGUUCUUCGUGUCGUCUGGAUUUCGUCAGUUCUUCGUGUCAUCUGGAUGUUCCACUAUCCCUGGGUUUCACUCGAGCACGCUGUCAUCUGUUUCCACCACCGGAUCGCCAUCUCGUCCCUGCUUCACUGACCAUCUGAGUGUUUGUCCCUGAUCUGUGCCUUGUCAUCAUUGUUCACUCUGACUUUAUUCAUUAAACUGAGUUUUACUUGCA
Rhinichthys klamathensis goyatoka is the source of this 483-nucleotide long non-coding RNA. RefSeq lists it as uncharacterized. The transcript has 2 exons. NCBI's taxonomy places the organism in Eukaryota, Metazoa, Chordata, Actinopteri, Cypriniformes, Leuciscidae. The record is from RefSeq and is a predicted model, not a curated record.